AUGGAGGCGCUGCCGGACGACAUCGUUGUGGAGAUCCUGGUGCGCGUGACGGGCGUUGCCGCCCUCUUCCGCUGCGCCGCGACGUGCAAUCGGUGGCGCCGCCUCAUCGCCGACACCUCUUUCCUCUUCCGCCUCUGGCCAGAGGGCGUGCCCCACUCGUCCUUCCUCCUCGGCUUCCUCGUCACACAACUGUCCCGUGAAGAACGACCAGCCAGAAUCAUCUCUGCGCCCGCGCCGUCGUUCGCCCUGGCGCCAUGGUCGCCCCUCGGAGACCGCUACCGCUUCCUCGGGCAUUACAUCCACGGCCUCCUCAAGGAUGGUCGCUUGCACACGGUGCCGCUCACCGCGCGUCGCGGCCUUCUUCUCAAUCACAUCGUCGAACUCGUCUACCCCAACAAUAUGACGACCGAGGGAAGCUUCAGUCUGGCAUUGUGCGAUCCGCUCGCGGGCGUAGGUCGCGAGCUCCCCCCGCUGAAGUACAAUGGAAAAUUCACGAUGGUAGGGUAUACCAUCCUAACCGAUCUGGAUUGCUGCUCCGACAAACGGCGAUGGCCAAUCUACGAGGUCUCCUUCAAAGUGCUAAUCAUCAGUGUCGACGAAGGUCAGCCAGGGUACAAUCUCCAUGUGUUCAUGCCCGCUGAGUGGAGCUGGAGCACGCCUAGACAGUUCUUUGGCACUCUGGAGCACGGCGUGCAUGUGGCGCCCCAGCAGGCCAACGCCGUCGUGUGCCAAGGCGCGGCACACUGGCUUUUCAGGCGGACGUCAAGCUUUUACACGCUCAGUGUGUGCGCUAAGACUGCCCACAUGUCCUUAACAAGGCUCCCAAUCACGCCGUACCAAAUCGACCUCAACUUGUAUAGUGAACCAAUGCUUAGUGUCACCAAUGACGGGAUGCUAUCGUUACUUCGUUUGUAUAGGAAAUUCACCAUGCUGGAGAUCUGGACAUGUCAAGGUGACUAUAAAAGUGAGGAUGACAACGUGGACCGCUGGUACCGCACAAAGAUGAUCAAGCUAAAACGACCCACGCAGAUUAAGAUCGACCUUGUGCGAUGCGUGUGUAUCGGAGAGAUGAGUGGCAAACUGCUGGUCAAUGACAAUCAAGGUUGUGUGUACAUUGCAGACCUCCAAACUGGUGCAAUGGAGACGGUCACCGAGUGGUUUCGCAGCAGUGUCCAGAGUGCUAUACCCUUUGAGAUGGAUUGGCCUGCCUACUUCAUGUCUCAGUUGGCUGGUGGCAGGAUCAAGCGGACUAAAUUGGGAGGAGCUAUACAGAAAAUUGCGAAAUCUUUCUGGGGACUAGUAGUUGUGUCAGUAAUCUUUGGACUAAUUGCUAUGAGGUGGGCUUGGGCCUAG
RNAcentral lists this ribosomal RNA (1353 nucleotides) under Triticum aestivum (bread wheat). RNAcentral describes it as "partial small subunit ribosomal RNA". The record is from RNAcentral. Lineage: Eukaryota; Viridiplantae; Streptophyta; Magnoliopsida; Poales; Poaceae.